This is a long non-coding RNA of Pieris napi, 228 nucleotides long. RefSeq lists it as uncharacterized. The record is from RefSeq and is a predicted model, not a curated record. NCBI's taxonomy places the organism in Eukaryota, Metazoa, Arthropoda, Insecta, Lepidoptera, Pieridae. The transcript has 3 exons.
UUAACGGACACUACGGUCCUAUGGCUAAAAUGAUUUCCAUUUAUACGCUCUUCGUUUUAAGCAUUCUGCAUGCUCAUGCUGCUCCUCAAGGUAUGUCAAUUGUCAAUUACCCGCCUCAGCAAUCAACGAUUGGCGUCUAAAACCAGUGAUAUUUUAAUUUAUUUUUAAUUUAUUUGAUAUACUUACCAGAGUAUCAGACAUUAACCCAUAAGUAAUGUCAUAGGCAAC